GCUUUCUUUGUUGUUUAUAGAGAGAAGAAUUUGGUUACUACUAUCAAGGCGUUCCACCAUUUUCACUAAUUUUUCUCUUAAAAGAAUGUCAACUUCUACUGCUUUACAGUGAAGACCAAUUUUACUCUUUUCAUCGAUAUUCCAUCCUCCCUGAAAUGGUGGAAAAUGCAUUUUUUUAGGUUGACAAUGGAGCAGGGUUGG
Molecule: unclassified non-coding RNA, 201 nt
Filed under: Hevea brasiliensis (rubber tree)
Lineage: Eukaryota; Viridiplantae; Streptophyta; Magnoliopsida; Malpighiales; Euphorbiaceae
Source: RNAcentral